This 228-nucleotide ribosomal RNA is filed under the name uncultured bacterium. Its description in RNAcentral is "partial 16S ribosomal RNA". The stretch from base 33 to 228 matches the Rfam family "Bacterial small subunit ribosomal RNA", at positions 556 to 793 of the family's 1533-position model. The record is from RNAcentral.
GGUUUAGUUAAGUCAGAUGUAGAAACGGCCCGGGGCUACAACCGUACGGUAAUUGCUAUUUAGAAACGUGGACAAACUAGAGUACUGUAGAGGGGGUAGAAUUUCGGGUGUAGCGGUGAAAUGCGUAGAGAUCUGAAGGAAUACCGGUGGCGAAGGCGGCCCCCUGGACAGAUACUGACACUCAGAUGCGAAAGCGUGGGGAGCAAACAGGAUUAGAUACCCUGGUAG